RNAcentral lists this ribosomal RNA (445 nucleotides) under uncultured bacterium. RNAcentral's name for it is "partial 16S ribosomal RNA". It matches the Rfam family "Bacterial small subunit ribosomal RNA", at positions 354 to 796 of the family's 1533-position model. The record is from RNAcentral.
GUAGGGAAUAUUGGGCAAUGGAUGCAAGUCUGACCCAGCCAUCCCGCGUGCCGGAAGAAGGCCCUCAGGGUUGUAAACGGCUUUUAACGGUGAAGAACCGACAGGAUGCGUCCUGUUUUGACGGUAGCCGUUGAAUAAGCACCGGCUAACUCCGUGCCAGCAGCCGCGGUAAUACGGAGGGUGCGAGCGUUGUCCGGAUUUAUUGGGUUUAAAGGGUGCGUAGGCUGGAAGGUCAGUCAGCGGUGAAAAGCUAUCGCUUAACGAUAGUCUUGCCGCAGAUACUUCCUUUCUUGGAUGAGGAGGAGGCCACUGGAACGGAUGGUGUAGCGGUGAAAUGCAUAGAUAUCAUCCAGAACACCGAUUGCGAAGGCAGGUGGCUGUACCUUAAUCGACGCUGAUGCACGAAAGCAUGGGGAGCAAACAGGAUUAGAAACCCCAGUAGUCC